GACGAACGCUGGCGGCGUGCUUAACACAUGCAAGUCGAACGGAAAGGCCCUGCUUUUGUUGGGUUCUCGAUCGGCGAACGGGUGAGUAACACGUGUGUAACCUGCCCUUGACUUUGGGAUAACUUCAGGAAACUGGGGCUAAUACCGGAUAGUAGCUACUGCUCCAUGUUGGGGGUUGGAAAGUUUCGGCGGUUGUGUCUGGACUCGCGGCUUAUCAGCUUGUCGGUGGGGUAGUGGCUUACCAAGGCUUUGACGGGUAGCCGGCCUGAGAGGGUGACCGGCAACAUUGGGACUGAGAUACGGACCAGACUCCUACGGGAGGCAGCAGUGGGGAAUAUUGCACAAUGGGCGGAAGCCUGAUGCAGCAACGCCGCGUGCGGGAUGACGGCCUUCGGGGUGUAAACCGCUUUCGACUGUGACGAAGCGUGAGUGACGGUAAUGGGUAAAGAAGCAACGGCUAACUACGUG
RNAcentral lists this ribosomal RNA (468 nucleotides) under uncultured bacterium. RNAcentral's name for it is "partial 16S ribosomal RNA". It matches the Rfam family "Bacterial small subunit ribosomal RNA", at positions 28 to 507 of the family's 1533-position model. The record is from RNAcentral.